This 85-nucleotide transfer RNA is filed under the name Felis catus (domestic cat). It matches the Rfam family "tRNA". From Rfam's summary of the family: Transfer RNA (tRNA) molecules are approximately 80 nucleotides in length. The record is from Rfam by way of RNAcentral. Lineage: Eukaryota; Metazoa; Chordata; Mammalia; Carnivora; Felidae.
GCCUGGGUGGCUCAGUCGGUUGAGCAUCCGACUUCAGCUCAGGUCAUGAUCUCAUGGUUCGUGGAUUAGAGCCCCACAUCAGGCU